RNAcentral lists this ribosomal RNA (255 nucleotides) under uncultured bacterium. RNAcentral's name for it is "partial 16S ribosomal RNA". It matches the Rfam family "Bacterial small subunit ribosomal RNA", at positions 524 to 778 of the family's 1533-position model. The record is from RNAcentral.
UACGAAGGGGGCUAGCGUUGCUCGGAAUUACUGGGCGUAAAGCGCACGUAGGCGGAUUGUUAAGUCGGGGGUGAAAUCCUGGAGCUCAACUCCAGAACUGCCUUCGAUACUGGCGAUCUCGAGUUCGGGAGAGGUGAGUGGAACUGCGAGUGUAGAGGUGAAAUUCGUAGAUAUUCGCAAGAACACCAGUGGCGAAGGCGGCUCACUGGCCCGAUACUGACGCUGAGGUGCGAAAGCGUGGGGAGCAAACAGGGG